GACGAACGCUGGCGGCGUGCUUAACACAUGCAAGUCGAACGGAAAGGCCCUGCUUUUGUGGGGUGCUCGAGUGGCGAACGGGUGAGUAACACGUGAGUAACCUGCCCUUGACUUUGGGAUAACUUCAGGAAACUUGGGCUAAUACCGGAUAGGAGCUCCUGCUGCAUGGUGGGGGUUGGAAAGUUUCGGCGGUUGGGGAUGGACUCGCGGCUUAUCAGCUUGUUGGUGGGGUAGUGGCUUACCAAGGCUUUGACGGGUAGCCGGCCUGAGAGGGUGACCGGCCACAUUGGGACUGAGAUACGGCCCAGACUCCUACGGGAGGCAGCAGUGGGGAAUAUUGCACAAUGGGCGGAAGCCUGAUGCAGCAACGCCGCGUGCGGGAUGACGGCCUUCGGGCUGUAAACCGCUUUCGCCUGUGACGAAGCGUGAGUGACGGUAAUGGGUAAAGAAGCACCGGCUAACUACGUG
This 468-nucleotide ribosomal RNA is filed under the name uncultured bacterium. Its description in RNAcentral is "partial 16S ribosomal RNA". It matches the Rfam family "Bacterial small subunit ribosomal RNA", at positions 28 to 507 of the family's 1533-position model. The record is from RNAcentral.